UACGUAGGGGGCUAGCGUUGUCCGGAAUCAUUGGGCGUAAAGAGCGCGUAGGCGGCCAGAUAAGUCCGGUGUGAAAGUCAAAGGCUCAACCUUUGAAUGCCGCUGGAAACUGUCUGGCUAGGGUCCGGGAGGGGCGAGUGGAAUUCCUGGUGUAGCGGUGAAAUGCGCAGAUAUCUGGAGGAACACCAAUGGCGAAGGCAGCUCGCUGGAACGGUACUGACGCUGAGGCGCGAAAGCGUGGGGAGCGAACAGG
This 253-nucleotide ribosomal RNA is filed under the name uncultured bacterium. RNAcentral's name for it is "partial 16S ribosomal RNA". It matches the Rfam family "Bacterial small subunit ribosomal RNA", at positions 524 to 776 of the family's 1533-position model. The record is from RNAcentral.